CAGCGAUAUUUUACAUAUGAAACUAUGCCAAGACUGCCAAGAAGCUCCUGCGCUUGUUAAUUGCCUUAAUUGCAAAGAUUUCUUUUGCGAACUGUGUUUUCAGUAUACACACAAACGAGGUAAUAGACGCAAACAUCUUGUAGAGACGUUAAAUAUAGCUUCUAACUUUAAGGAUUCAAAUAAGAAGAUCGAAACUUCUGCCCUUAUUGAAGGGACUACAGCACAUUUUGAAGUUUUACUAAAG
Molecule: long non-coding RNA, 244 nt
Organism: Zophobas morio
Lineage: Eukaryota; Metazoa; Arthropoda; Insecta; Coleoptera; Tenebrionidae
Exons: 3
Source: RefSeq, a predicted model, not a curated record